Molecule: non-coding RNA, 551 nt
Filed under: Pongo abelii (Sumatran orangutan)
Lineage: Eukaryota; Metazoa; Chordata; Mammalia; Primates; Hominidae
Source: RNAcentral
UGUGUGGAGAGCUCCAUGUGACAAGGAACCAAGGGAGGUCUCCAGCCUAAGCAACUGAGACCUCAGCCCAACAGCCCUCAAAGAACUGGAUCUUCAAACAACCACAUGAGUGACCUGGAAGCAAAUCUGUCACCAGUGCUCUUGAGAUGGAGAAAAGAUCAUGAUCUAAGAGUCUAUAAGACCAGAGCAGCCUGAAUUGCUGAGCUGCCUGGUGGAGAAUAGCAGCAUUGGGUGGUUCCCAGGAUUCUUAAAAGGACUUCACAAAGGAUUAGGUUGAGGUUCUGCAUUUUUGGCAAGAAUACCACAGACGUGAUGCUGUACCUUUCUCAGUGCAGCCUAUGAGGUGGUUCAUGAAGAAAAUGUAUCAUAUUAUCAGUGAAUGUUAUCCUCGUUCCCUUAGUGAAGGUGGUUCCUGCCAGCUUCUACACUGUAAUGAGUAUUCUUAUUAAAUCUGAUUAUCACUCUUCUAAUUGCUACUGAAACCAGGAAAAAAAAAGCUCAGAAAAGAUGUCAUAUAUCUUCAAAUUGUUUAAAUAAAAUUAAUCACAGAU